RNAcentral lists this ribosomal RNA (497 nucleotides) under uncultured bacterium. RNAcentral's name for it is "partial 16S ribosomal RNA". It matches the Rfam family "Bacterial small subunit ribosomal RNA", at positions 28 to 507 of the family's 1533-position model. The record is from RNAcentral.
GAUGAACGCUGGCGGCGUGCCUAAUACAUGCAAGUCGAGCGAACGGACGAGAAGCUUGCUUCUCUGAUGUUAGCGGCGGACGGGUGAGUAACACGUGGAUAACCUACCUAUAAGACUGAGAUAACUUCGGGAAACCGGAGCUAAUACCGGAUAAUAUUUUGAACCGCAUGGUUCAAUAGUGAAAGACGGUCUUGCUGUCACUUAUAGAUGGAUCCGCGCUGCAUUAGCUAGUUGGUAAGGUAACGGCUUACCAAGGCAACGAUGCAUAGCCGACCUGAGAGGGUGAUCGGCCACACUGGAACUGAGACACGGUCCAGACUCCUACGGGAGGCAGCAGUAGGGAAUCUUCCGCAAUGGGCGAAAGCCUGACGGAGCAACGCCGCGUGAGUGAUGAAGGUCUUCGGAUCGUAAAACUCUGUUAUUAGGGAAGAACAAAUGUGUAAGUAACUGUGCACAUCUUGACGGUACCUAAUCAGAAAGCCACGGCUAACUACGUG